RNAcentral lists this ribosomal RNA (468 nucleotides) under uncultured bacterium. RNAcentral's name for it is "bacterial SSU rRNA". It matches the Rfam family "Bacterial small subunit ribosomal RNA", at positions 28 to 493 of the family's 1533-position model. The record is from RNAcentral.
GACGAACGCUGGCGGCGUGCCUAACACAUGCAAGUCGAACGGAACUGUUUUGAAAGAUUUCUUCGGAAUGAAUUUGAUUUAGUUUAGUGGCGGACGGGUGAGUAACGCGUGAGUAACCUGCCUUCAAGAGGGGGACAACAUUCUGAAAAGAAUGCUAAUACCGCAUGAUAUAUCGGAACCACAUGGUUUUGAUAUCAAAGAUUUUAUCGCUUGAAGAUGGACUCGCGUCCGAUUAGUUAGUUGGUGAGGUAACGGCUCACCAAGACCGCGAUCGGUAGCCGGACUGAGAGGUUGAACGGCCACAUUGGGACUGAGACACGGCCCAGACUCCUACGGGAGGCAGCAGUGGGGGAUAUUGCGCAAUGGGGGCAACCCUGACGCAGCAACGCCGCGUGAAGGAUGAAGGUUUUCGGAUUGUAAACUUCUUUUAUUAAGGACGAAAAAUGACGGUACUUAAUGAAUAAGCUC